This 360-nucleotide ribosomal RNA is filed under the name uncultured prokaryote. Its description in RNAcentral is "partial 16S ribosomal RNA". The record is from RNAcentral.
UUGGGGUAAUUAUACUCAUCGCGAAUAUCCUUAAGAGGGCGUUCAGCAGCCAGCUUGCGGCAAAACUGCGUAACCGUCUUCUCGUUCUCUAAAAACCAUUUUUCGUCCCCUUCGGGGCGGUGGUCUAUAGUGUUAUUAAUAUCAAGUUGGGGGAGCACAUUGUAGCAUUGUGCCAAUUCAUCCAUUAACUUCUCAGUAACAGAUACAAACUCAUCACGAACGUCAGAAGCAGCCUUAUGGCCGUCAACAUACAUAUCACCAUUAUCGAACUCAACGCCCUGCAUACGAAAAGACAGAAUCUCUUCCAAGAGCUUGAUGCGGUUAUCCAUCUGCUUAUGGAAGCCAAGCAUUGGGGAUUGA